GACGAACGCUGGCGGCGUGCUUAACACAUGCAAGUCGAACGGAAAGGCCCUGCUUUUGUGUGGUGCUCGAUUGGCGAACGGGUGAGUAACACGUGAGUAACCUGCCCUUGACUUUGGGAUAACUUCAGGAAACUGGGGCGAAUACCGGAUAGGAUCUCCUGCUGCAUGGUGGGGGUUGGAAAGUUUCGGCGUUUGGGGAUGGACUCGCGGCUUAUCAGCUUGUUUGUGAGGUAGUGGCUUACCAAGGUUUUGACGGGUAGCCGGCCUGAGAGGGUGACCGGCCACAUUGGGACUGAGAUACGGACCAGACUCCUACGGGAGGCAGAAGUGGGGAAUAUUGCACAAUGGGCGGAAGCCUGAUGCAGCAACGCCGCGUGCGGGAUGACGGCCUUCGGGUUGUAAACCGCUUUCGACUGUGACGAAGCGUGAGUGACGGUAAUGGGUAAAGAAGCACCGGCUAACUACGUG
This 468-nucleotide ribosomal RNA is filed under the name uncultured bacterium. Its description in RNAcentral is "partial 16S ribosomal RNA". It matches the Rfam family "Bacterial small subunit ribosomal RNA", at positions 28 to 507 of the family's 1533-position model. The record is from RNAcentral.